RNAcentral lists this ribosomal RNA (436 nucleotides) under uncultured Agrobacterium sp. RNAcentral's name for it is "bacterial SSU rRNA". It matches the Rfam family "Bacterial small subunit ribosomal RNA", at positions 8 to 492 of the family's 1533-position model. Lineage: Bacteria; Pseudomonadati; Pseudomonadota; Alphaproteobacteria; Hyphomicrobiales; Rhizobiaceae. The record is from RNAcentral.
AGAGUUUGAUCCUGGCUCAGAACGAACGCUGGCGGCAGGCUUAACACAUGCAAGUCGAACGCCCCGCAAGGGGAGUGGCAGACGGGUGAGUAACGCGUGGGAAUGUGCCCCGAGGUACGGAACAACGCCGGGAAACUGGCGCUAAUACCGUAUGUGACCGAGAGGUGAAAGAUUUAUCGCCUCGGGAUCAGCCCGCGUUGGAUUAGCUAGUUGGUGGGGUAAUGGCCUACCAAGGCGACGAUCCAUAGCUGGUCUGAGAGGACGACCAGCCACACUGGGACUGAGACACGGCCCAGACUCCUACGGGAGGCAGCAGUGGGGAAUCUUGGACAAUGGGCGCAAGCCUGAUCCAGCCAUGCCGCGUGGAUGAUGAAGGCCUUAGGGUUGUAAAAUCCUUUCGUCGGGGACGAUAGUGACGGUACCCGAAGAAGAGUCC